This 141-nucleotide ribosomal RNA is filed under the name Cronobacter sakazakii 701. Its description in RNAcentral is "Large Subunit Ribosomal RNA; lsuRNA; LSU rRNA". It matches the Rfam family "Bacterial large subunit ribosomal RNA", at positions 1196 to 1335 of the family's 2925-position model. Lineage: Bacteria; Pseudomonadati; Pseudomonadota; Gammaproteobacteria; Enterobacterales; Enterobacteriaceae. The record is from RNAcentral.
GAAGCUGCGGCAGCGACACUAUGUGUUGUUGGGUAGGGGAGCGUUCUGUAAGCCUGUGAAGGUGUGCUGUGAGGCAUGCUGGAGGUAUCAGAAGUGCGAAUGCUGACAUAAGUAACGAUAAAGCGGGUGAAAAGCCCGCUC